UACGGGGGGGGCAAGCGUUGUUCGGAAUUACUGGGCGUAAAGGGCUCGUAGGCGGCCAACUAAGUCGGAUGUGAAAUCCCCAGGCUUAACCUGGGAACUGCAUCCGAUACUGGAUGGCUUGAAUUCGGGAGAGGGAUGCGGAAUUCCAGGUGUAGCGGUGAAAUGCGUAGAUAUCUGGAGGAACACCGGUGGCGAAGGCGGCAUCCUGGACCAACACUGACACUGAGGAGCGAAAGCCAGGGGAGCAAACGGG
This 253-nucleotide ribosomal RNA is filed under the name uncultured bacterium. Its description in RNAcentral is "partial 16S ribosomal RNA". It matches the Rfam family "Bacterial small subunit ribosomal RNA", at positions 524 to 776 of the family's 1533-position model. The record is from RNAcentral.